UACAACUGUUGCUAAGGUUUCUAGAGCAAUGCUAAAAGCAAUACUUGACGGUGUCGGUGAGCAGUAGCGUGGCUGUUUGACGCGGUCUUACCGUGCAUUGUGGCGGGAACGCGUGGUUCAGGAGCGUGAACACGCAGCAGCUGAAGCAGAGCAGCAGGCUGAUGGACUGGAUCAAACAGACCUGUCUCCGCAAAAAUGACCUUCAACCCACUGGCCACCACUGAAGUCCACCAUAUGAAGAAAAAACCUGGAACAGAACACAAGAUCAUUGUUGCAUAAUUUUACCAAUGAUUUAUUUUUAAUCGAGGCACAUCCUGAUGAUGAUAUAGUACUAUUAUUAGAUCCGACAGCAAUGUUGCAAUACACGAGUGUUCGUUGUAAUGUUUUAUCAUGUGUCACUAUUAUCUUUUAUUUGUGUAGGCUACGGACUAUUUAUACAUUUUUUACCAAAAUGACCCAUGUUGUUUUCAGAGUAUAUCACAGCAGUGUCCAUCUAUUGUUUUAAUAUGCAAAAUCAUAGCAGUGGGCAUUUACUUCCAGUUCUUGAUUGGGGAACACCUCAAAUCAAGUGAGAGUUUCAUAGGGAGGGUCAAAACCAGGACAGAAAAUAGCCUAUUACUACUCUAAAUCCACAGCUGAUCAUCUUCCACAGAGGUGGUCUUUCCUCACACUAUAACGUCAUUCUGAGAUGAAAUAUUAAACAAAAGAUGAAGGAAAAGUUGAUUUCUCAAUUCAUGACGUUCCUGGAAGACACCACUAAUAAGCAUGUGAGAUGAUUAAAGUAAUGCCUUAUUGCUUCAUAAGCACCAGUCAGAAGUUUAAACGCAAUGCUUUCUCAAGCCAACAUAAUAAUAAUAAUAAUAAUAAUAAUAAUAAUAAAAUCGAACAUUUACAAGCAAUAGCCUUGUCCUCAGCACAUAAUAUAGUUGGCUCUAUCCUGAAUUGUGUUUUAUUCAAAUGUAAGUUAUCCAAAAUAUUUACCAGUAUAACAAAUUUAUGAAACACUAUCAUAGCCGACACAUGCCACAUUUAGUCCCAAAUAAAAUCAGGCCAAAAAUGAUGGCCAACCUGCUAGAUGCAGAAAUCAUUUUAUAUUACAACAUUUUAAUUAAAUAAAUGUUUUUCAUUUUGCAGCAGUGCAUAAAACGUCUAUGCUCUGGAAAAAUGAUUGUGGAAAAAUGGUACAAGGCCAGGAAUGAUGCACAUUGCCAGGAAUGUGGGUUUUAGGAAUGUAGGACAGUCGAACAAUUGUGCCUGAGUGAAAGUUCUGGUAAAAUGUGGAUUACAUUAUUGCAAAGAGCUUGUUUGGAUAAAGGUCAGAAAACUGGUGUCAAAUUGCCGCUUGUUUGCCAUGUACAGAAAAAAAGAAAAGAAAGGUGAAGUAAUGAUAUUUUCCCCUCUUUUCAUUGGAAGGGUUUUGGUAACUUAUUGGGAAGUCGGAUUCUAUCAUCUCUUUUGAGUUAUGGUUUAUUCUUUUUAGUUUGUGAGGUCUUAUAUAAAAACUUAGAAAAUAAAAGUGGCUUGCUUUUGUCUAAUGUUCCUUUUUCAUUAAACAUCUCCUGUUGUA
This is a long non-coding RNA of Carassius gibelio (silver crucian carp), 1567 nucleotides long. RefSeq lists it as uncharacterized. NCBI's taxonomy places the organism in Eukaryota, Metazoa, Chordata, Actinopteri, Cypriniformes, Cyprinidae. The record is from RefSeq and is a predicted model, not a curated record. The transcript has 2 exons.